RNAcentral lists this ribosomal RNA (497 nucleotides) under uncultured bacterium. Its description in RNAcentral is "partial 16S ribosomal RNA". It matches the Rfam family "Bacterial small subunit ribosomal RNA", at positions 28 to 507 of the family's 1533-position model. The record is from RNAcentral.
GGUGAACGCUGGCGGCGUGCCUAAUACAUGCCAGUCGAGCGAACGGACGAGAAGCUUGCUUUUCUGAUGUUAGCGGCGGACGGGUGAGUAACACGUGGAUAACCUACCUAUAAGACUGGGAUAACUUCGGGAAACCGGAGCUAAUACCGGAUAAUAUUUUGAACCGCAUGGUUCAAAAGUGAAAGACGGUCUUGCUGUCACUUAUAGAUGGAUCCGCGCUGCAUUAGCUAGUUGGUAAGGUAACGGCUUACCAAGGCAACGAUGCAUAGCCGACCUGAGAGGGUGAUCGGCCACACUGGAACUGAGACACGGUCCAGACUCCUACGGGAGGCAGCAGUAGGGAAUCUUCCGCAAUGGGCGAAAGCCUGACGGAGCAACGCCGCGUGAGUGAUGAAGGUCUUCGGAUCGUAAAACUCUGUUAUUAGGGAAGAACAUAUGUGUAAGUAACUGUGCACAUCUUGACGGUACCUAAUCAGAAAGCCACGGCUAACUACGUG